This 1341-nucleotide ribosomal RNA is filed under the name uncultured bacterium. Its description in RNAcentral is "partial 16S ribosomal RNA". It matches the Rfam family "Bacterial small subunit ribosomal RNA", at positions 28 to 1381 of the family's 1533-position model. The record is from RNAcentral.
GACGAACGCUGGCGGCGUGCUUAACACAUGCAAGUCGAACGGUAAGGCUCCAGCUUGCUGGGGUACACGAGUGGCGAACGGGUGAGUAACACGUGGGUGACCUGCCCUGCACUUCGGGAUAAGCCUGGGAAACUGGGUCUAAUACCGGAUAGGACCGCACCGUGAGGGUGUGGUGGAAAGUUUUUUCGGUGUGGGAUGGGCCCGCGGCCUAUCAGCUUGUUGGUGGGGUAAUGGCCUACCAAGGCGGCGACGGGUAGCCGGCCUGAGAGGGUGGACGGCCACAUUGGGACUGAGACACGGCCCAGACUCCUACGGGAGGCAGCAGUGGGGAAUAUUGCACAAUGGGCGGAAGCCUGAUGCAGCGACGCCGCGUGGGGGAUGACGGCCUUCGGGUUGUAAACUCCUUUCACCAUCGACGAAGGGUUUCUGACGGUAGAUGGAGAAGAAGCACCGGCUAACUACGUGCCAGCAGCCGCGGUAAUACGUAGGGUGCGAGCGUUGUCCGGAAUUACUGGGCGUAAAGAGCUCGUAGGUGGUUUGUCGCGUCGUCUGUGAAAUUCCGGGGCUUAACUCCGGGCGUGCAGGCGAUACGGGCAUAACUUGAGUACUGUAGGGGAGACUGGAAUUCCUGGUGUAGCGGUGAAAUGCGCAGAUAUCAGGAGGAACACCGGUGGCGAAGGCGGGUCUCUGGGCAGUAACUGACGCUGAGGAGCGAAAGCAUGGGGAGCGAACAGGAUUAGAUACCCUGGUAGUCCAUGCCGUAAACGGUGGGCGCUAGGUGUGGGUUUCCUUCCACGGGAUCCGUGCCGUAGCUAACGCAUUAAGCGCCCCGCCUGGGGAGUACGGCCGCAAGGCUAAAACUCAAAGGAAUUGACGGGGGCCCGCACAAGCGGCGGAGCAUGUGGAUUAAUUCGAUGCAACGCGAAGAACCUUACCUGGGCUUGACAUAUACAGGAUCGCGCCAGAGAUGGUGUUUCCCUUGUGGCUUGUAUACAGGUGGUGCAUGGUUGUCGUCAGCUCGUGUCGUGAGAUGUUGGGUUAAGUCCCGCAACGAGCGCAACCCUUGUCUUAUGUUGCCAGCACGUUGUGGUGGGGACUCGUAAGAAACUGCCGGGGUUAACUCGGAGGAAGGUGGGGAUGACGUCAAAUCAUCAUGCCCCUUAUGUCCAGGGCUUCACACAUGCUACAAUGGUCGGUACAGUGGGUUGCCAGUCCGUGAGGGCGAGCUAAUCCCGCAAAGCCGGUCUCAGUUCGGAUCGGGGUCUGCAACUCGACCCCGUGAAGUCGGAGUCGCUAGUAAUCGCAGAUCAGCAACGCUGCGGGAAUCACGAAGCGGGGCCU